AGAAGAAAGAAACAUACGCCGUCAAGAUGAGUUCCUUCACUAGUGAAGUUUUGUCCUUUGUUUCCAACCUUGUGAAGUCCGAAAGUAUGAUCCGGAAGAUUCAUGUUGUGCCAAACCUUAACGAAUCCGGUUCCGCAGUUCUCAAGAAUUAAGGAAAUAGGGGCGAGGUAUGCCUUUUCUUGAUUGGGAGCGUAGAGGCACAACCUGCUAAGAGAAGAUGGAUACCAGCAACCAGCGAGCAGGAUGCAAUUGACAUGUGUACUCCGAGCACUUGCGGAAGCGAGGAAACUCUACUGCAUGACGAGGCUUCAUAUCAUCCUGGUAUGAUGACUAAUGGCCCGA
Molecule: long non-coding RNA, 342 nt
Organism: Penaeus monodon (black tiger shrimp)
Lineage: Eukaryota; Metazoa; Arthropoda; Malacostraca; Decapoda; Penaeidae
Exons: 4
Source: RefSeq, a predicted model, not a curated record